RNAcentral lists this long non-coding RNA (4667 nucleotides) under Canis lupus familiaris (dog). RNAcentral describes it as "lncRNA (ENSCAFG00845021800.1)". The record is from RNAcentral. Lineage: Eukaryota; Metazoa; Chordata; Mammalia; Carnivora; Canidae.
AUGUCCGGGACGCGGCUCGCUACCUUUCGGGCUCGGGAAUUUCCAGCGAACAGAGAAAAAUCCGCAGACCUAGGGCCGGCCGCCGGGCCCGCGCCCCCCCCCCCCCCCCCCCGCCCCCCCCCCCCCCCCUCCCCUCCCCCCCCUCCCCCUCCCCUCCCCUCCCCUCCCCUCCCCUGCCCUCCCUCCGCCCUUCUCCCUGCACCCCCGGCCCGGGCCCCGGUGCCCACCCGCGCGCCGCGCUAUAAAGGGCCGAGGCGGGCCGCGGGCCCCGAGCAGCGCGGGACGGAGCCGCCCGAGGCCCCCGCGCGCCUGGGCUUCCCGCCGCCGGGACCGCUGGAAACCACGGAGUGGCCGCCGCGCGCUCCUCGCACCCACAGGUUAACAGGAAGACCUGGAGGCUGAAUUUCACGUUUGAUGCACUGCCCGAGGGUGCCAGAGGCAACCUGGCGGUGAGAAAGGCCCGGAUACCCAAGUGGGAGGUAGAUGUUACUUCGGCCUUGGCUGAUGGAGGCAAAAUCGGUAGGGGGAUUUUUUUUUUUUUUUUUUUUUUUUUUCUAAGACUCUUGGAUCUCUUAAAUCAAUUUUUGAAGUUGCCUCAGAGUUACUGUGAAUUUUACGCAUAGGCAUUGUACUGCGAUUUCUUGUGAACUAAGAUAUUUUGGUGGCUUAGUUUGCUUUUCACUAACUUGAAUUUCCACUCUUUCUGUGAGAGGAGGACACAUGAAUAUGUCUAAGAGGGGAAUUCAGCUCUCUGCUGACGGGCGGUUUCAGAGUUAUGUAAUCUUUCACAGGCCCAGAGAGCAUCGUGGCCCCCUCUGGUUUUGGUGAAGCCGCUCAUUAAAGCUAGCAUAUGUGGUUUCUGAUUAAAGCACUUCCUGUUCCUUUAAUUUGGGACUGUGAGGUAAAACACUUUCCUUUCAAAUUUGGUAGAUGAAAAUAAGUUAUUGCUCCCUGGGCGGAGGGGUUGGUUAGCAGGAGGGAAUGAAAUGUAUUAAACGCUUGUUUUGGGAGUUGACCAGCAAGAUCUCAUUUAGCCUUCAUAAUGGCAUCUGAGGUAGACAUAAUAAGGCUAAUUUUAUAGGUGAGGAAAUUGAGGCUCAGAGAUAUUGAGCAAUCGGUUCAAGAUCGCCUAGGUGGUGAGUGGCAGAGGUUGGAUUUGAUCUCUGUAGCUAGUAAGUACCCUUGCCUCCGCGCCACUGGGCUAUUAGCUCAGUACUAAGGGGAGAGAUCAACCUCUUUCCAGGGUCCCUCCCUUUCUCUGGCUCCCCGCUGGGUCCCACUGCUUCCGGUUCAGAUUUAACUGGUAAAGUUUUAGUUGAUAACCAUAUAAGCCUUGGUGUUUUAAGAAGACCAUAGGAAAAUCUUUCAUACCUCCAAGAGUGAAGCCAUCUGGUGGAACGGUGAGGAUGGUUGGGCUAGUGGAUGGGAGAAGCCAUUUUUGGACACCACACUUGGGGUUACAAAGAAAGGGGAAUCCCACCCUUCGUCACCCUUGCUCCUCGAAGGAUGUUUCCUUCUGUGCUAGAAAGCUAAGGCUUGGAAGAGCAUCACUAGUCAAAGCUCUGGUGAAGGGCCCACUGCUACUGCUUCUGAAGAGGAACUGUGGGUGCCUAUCGAUAUAUUUAUAUUUUUUAACAAUUUCAUAUGCUUAUUUUCUAGUUUACCUUUCCUGUAGGCCCUAUGGUACUAUGAGUGGAGUAAUUAAUCUACUUGGUUAAAAAACAAAAUGCUCUGAUGAGUUAGGAAAGCAUUUCAAUUGUUGUCUUUUACAGGCGGUUCGUCUCAAACCUUAAUAUGCAUGAGAGUUAUCUGGAGAUCUGGUUGAACUACAGAUUCUGUGUCAGUAGGUCUAAGGCGGAGCUUAUCAUUCUGCAUAUUUAAUAAGUUCCCAUGUGAUCAUAGGCUUGCCCAACGUCCACACUUUGAGUAGCAGAAUUUUAAGGCUCCCGCAGUUCUAGUUAAUAAGAACAAUUAUGGAGCUUUUCUUUAAAAUCUGUGUAUGUCAUUGUACCACGUAGAGAAGUAAAUUCUGCUUGAUUAUGUUAAACAGCACUGGUGAUGCUGUAUUAUUCACAUGAUACCGAAUAUCUGUAUUAAGCUUUUCAAAAUGUUGUCAACCACCUAAAUGUUGCACCUAUAUAAUUGCAACUUCCAGAUGUAGGAAGACACUAAAAAUGAAUUUCUCGCUUUUCGUUCAGAAGUUUAGUAGUGUGCAUAAACUUUUAAUAUUGGCGUAAGACUUUUCGACGCAUCUUAGCGUUGGUUAGUAUGUGUGCAUCCCCAGUCCUGUGAUUAUUUCAGUCAAAUUUGCUAUUUGUCAUAGCACUUAUUUUUUAGAGUGGCAAAUGCAGUAAACCAUGCCUUCUCCCAGAGGGUUCUAUUGUCUCCAAGUGGGGAAAAUUGGUUCUGGGGGAAGGAAAUAUCUUCUAUAUUACAGUAGUCUGUGCCCUUGUAAAGGACCCUAAUAGCACGUAAACAGAUACAGAGUAUAUCUCUGGUUUUAAACUUUCAUCAGGGGACGGCUAGGGAAGAAAUGUCUGAACAAUCUCCUUAGGGGGUGUGCUAAGGAGAACAAGGUUGAACAAACAACUGUAAAUGCACUACAUAUACUUAUUCAGUUGAAGUCAAAAAGAUUUUUCCCUAGCUUGUUCUCUCUUUGUGUCUUGCUUUGUGUCUGCAUCCUUGCCACAAUUGUUUAAAGUAUCUGCCUCCAGAAGAGGGAUGAUUUCUGAUUUUUCCCCCAUAUUUCUUUACUUCAGGAAUAUUUUCUUCUAUUAUAUCCUUAAGUGUUUUUAAUACUUUAAUAAAUUGUGAGAAAUGUGACAUAAAAUUUACCAUCUUAACUAUUUGUCAGUGUAUAGUAGGGGGCAUUAAGUACAUUCACAUUGUUGUGCCACCAUCACUACUAUUCAUCUUCAGAAAUUUUUCGUUGUCUUAAACUGAAGAUCCACAUCUACUGAACAAUAUCUCCCCGUUUUCCCCUCCUCCAACCCUUGGCAACCACCAUUCUCCUUUCUGUCUCUAUGAAGUUAACCAUUCUAGGUGCUUCAUGGACAUGGAAUCGUAGGGUGUUUGUCCUUUUGUGACUGGCUUGUUUCACUUAGCAUCAUGUCUUCAAGGUACAUCCGUGUUACGGCAAGUGUUGCAAAUUCCUUCUUUUAUAAGGCUGAAUAAUAUCCCAUUAUACAUUCCCCAUUUUGUUUAUCCACCCAUCCCUCAAUAGCCAGGUAGUUGGCUUGCUUCUACCUUUUGGUCAUUGUGAAUAAUGUUGCGAUGAACAUGGGUGUAUAAGAAUCUGUGAGUUCCUGCUUUCAAUUCUUUUGGGUGAUGCCUAGAAGUGGAAUUGCUAGAUCAUAUGGUAAUUCUAUGUUUAAUAUUUUGAGGAACUGCUGUACUGUUUUCUAUAGCACCGUGGUGCUUGCUUUUUAACUCAUUUUGUGCCGUGUUUGGUGGAGUGCAGUGACAAAGUGUUUGUACGAUGAAUAUAUGACAGAAAAUGAUAGGAAAUUGAGAAUAAAUAAUCUGAAUGACUCAGCACUACGGCUAUUAAAACAAAUCAGCCUCACCCUCACCUGUCCACAUACUACAGUGAACACACAAACAAAUGCGUGGCUGUGAAUAACUCCCAUGAGAAUCAUGGAGGGAAGGCACUUAGAUUCCAUCUGGGUCAGAUCCUCUUGAAAAUGUGUGCCCCUUGCUAUGGAUUCCCACAUUUAAAAGAAACUUCAAGAGGCUGGUGGGAGGCUCAAGGAUGAGAGCUACAGAGGUGAUCCACAGAUGUGGAUGAAGAUGAACUAAACCAAGAACACCUUGAGGAAGGAAAUUGUGUGACUUCAGAUUUUCACUUUCCUCUCAUCCGCCUCCUUCUCUCUCCUCCACAGUGUAAGCAGUGGUCACUCCAUGAGUUUUAGUUGGACACAGAAUGUGGAAAAAAAAUCGGAAUAACCCAGAAUGAAAAAAAAUAGUGAAUUUUAAAUCAUUUUUUAAUCUGUGAAAAAGUAUUUUGAAGAUUGUAAGAAGUUUCUAUUUCAUACCUUUGUUGAGGGUAAAGGAGGUGGGUUUAAAUAGGGAAGUCAAGGGUUGGAGGAAAUGGAAAAUGAUCCCUGGGCAAGGCUGCUGAGUGUCCCCUUAGCAUCUCUAGUAACAUGAACUGAAACUAUCUGAACGGGGCAGACACUGAUGCAUCACGGACCUUCCCAGGCCUGCUGCUCUGUGCUGAUGUUUCAUAUCUUUUAAACAGGCAAUGAAAACAGUUCUGUUUAUCUGUGGUCCUGAACAUCAUCCGGCAUUAAGACGAGAAAAGGAGUCUUAGAUACAACACUAAUGUGUAAAUCCAGAGAUGGUGCUAGAUAGGUUGCAGCCAACCGAAGUGUUUGUAGCAAGUUGGAAGGGAACUGUCUGGUGAUAGUAAUGUUGAAAGGACAUGCCCUCUGCAUCUCGUACCUCUCUUGUGUUUGUCAGUUAUCCACAUUUCAUGGUGGUUCGUUUGGGGAGGUCUCUUUUAAAAUGCAAAUAGUCAGAUGACUGUUUAUGUCUCAGUGUGAUUUAAUUUUGAAAUGCCUUCUUGAAGUUUUACUGGAAGGGAAGGGCAUGCAGACUGCCCUGAUAGGACUGCAGAUAUGGGGCGAGAUGCGGUAGUAGGAGCAGCACGGGAAGUGCCGUGUGGA